CGGGGACACGCGUGGGGCGGACACGCGGGGAGGGGCCCGGAGCGCGGCUCGGCUGCGGAGCUCGGAGCCCAGGAUUGAUUUACAAACAUGCUUAAUUGAACGGAGAGCGUUCGAGGGGCCGGGGCCGGGACGAGGCACUUGCGGGUGUCGCACUCGAUGAGAUUCAGGAGUGACGAGCGAUUGCACAUGCGAAACGCGGCGUGACCGGGCCAGGAGCGGCCGUCCAGACGGCAGAGCAGCGUCAAAGGCGCGCCGGGGCCAUGGCAGCUCGACGGCCCAGACCGGAUGGCACCCCGGGGGUGCCCGAGGCGUGCGCACAGCGGGGCCUUCGGGGCGAAGUUUGCACUUUAAGUGCCGCUAGAGGGGUCUGAAGCGACGCCCAAGGGCGGUGGCUGAAAACGGCCCCGGGAGCUCACAGCUUUGUUCUUUCUGUUUGCUUCUUUGGGGAGAGGGAAAUAGAAACAGAAGAACAGAAAGAUGA
Molecule: long non-coding RNA, 481 nt
Organism: Gopherus flavomarginatus (Mexican gopher tortoise)
Lineage: Eukaryota; Metazoa; Chordata; Testudines; Testudinidae
Exons: 2
Source: RefSeq, a predicted model, not a curated record